AGGAUCACUUCCGAAACCACUUGGCCUUCAGCCCCUGCCUCGGCCAGAGGUUUCAUUUUUAACUGAAUAUUUACGAAAGCUGAAAGCGUGCGAGGGGGGUGGGGUGGAAAUAGCGGCUGCUUCUUUUCCAAGGAUUUAUUUAAUGGGGAUGUGUUCAAGGCAAGACCGAAUUCAGAAGGAUAUCGACGUCGUGAUCCAGAAGUCCAGAGCUGAGGACUGCCUGUUUGCAGGGCCCGCCUGGCAGGACGACUGAGCAAGUUCUUGGAAAACCAGAGAUAUUAGAGCGGUGAAUCGCGCUGGUCACGUUGGACACCUGCGCGUUAGGAGAUUCUGGAGCCAGAGGGAGAGACCCCAGAAACGCCCCGGUCGGCGACCCAGCCCGAGACGCCUGGGGUCCCAAGGGAAGCUGAACGCCCGGUGGGCUCCCGGGAUGGUUCUUCCGGUUCUUUGUGCCGCCUUCACCCAGUGAAGGAGCCUGUAUCCACCCUGCCCAGUCGCUGUUGGGCUGCUGCGGAGCUUCCGCUGCCAUCUUCGGAUCCUGUGUUCCGCCCGGGGCUCCACCAGGGCAGGGAUGGUGCAGAAUGGGGAAAUGGAGAGAGAACCUGAAAGAGCCCCAAACUCGAGGACCUAUUGCUCCCCAAGAAUAACAUCUUCCAGAACUAGACAGAAAACUAGGCGUCUGGGAACCCUGAAAUCCUUGGAGGAGUAGAUCAUCAUGACCCUCUGUGUUCCUUUUGGCAAAUGACUUGCUUCCAUUGUUUGUUUGUUCAAUUGUCUGUUUGUUAAAUAAAUAAAACCCUUUUUAUGUAUCUUUAAAAUUA
This 821-nucleotide long non-coding RNA is filed under the name Homo sapiens (human). RNAcentral describes it as "HSALNT0295089". The record is from RNAcentral. Lineage: Eukaryota; Metazoa; Chordata; Mammalia; Primates; Hominidae.